This 253-nucleotide ribosomal RNA is filed under the name uncultured bacterium. RNAcentral describes it as "partial 16S ribosomal RNA". It matches the Rfam family "Bacterial small subunit ribosomal RNA", at positions 524 to 776 of the family's 1533-position model. The record is from RNAcentral.
UACGGAGGGUGCAAGCGUUAAUCGGAAUUACUGGGCGUAAAGCGUGCGCAGGCGGUUUGUUAAGUCCGUUGUGAAAGCCCCGAGCUCAACUUGGGAAUUGCAGUGGAUACUGGCAGGCUGGAGUACGGUAGAGGAAGGUGGAAUUCCCGGUGUAGCAGUGAAAUGCGUAGAUAUCGGGAGGAACACCAGUGGCGAAGGCGGCCUUCUGGACCAGUACUGACGCUGAGGAGCGAAAGCGUGGGGAGCGAACAGG